This 1500-nucleotide unclassified non-coding RNA is filed under the name Portunus trituberculatus (swimming crab). Its description in RNAcentral is "aP-1 complex subunit sigma-2-like, transcript variant X6". The record is from RNAcentral. Lineage: Eukaryota; Metazoa; Arthropoda; Malacostraca; Decapoda; Portunidae.
AGGAGGCAGUGGCAACUUGUCGCAAGGCAUUGGUAAGUUGGUAACUCAGUGACUGUGGGGGAGUGUCUACCGUAUCGUAGCGCCGUAGUGGCAGUCUGGAUUAGAGCAAAACACUACAUUGUGGAAGUGUUGAGGUGGGAGCAGCAGUGGUUGGUUGAAGAACGGGCGGAGGAACACGGAUAUCGAAAGUCAUUCCCCAGAUGAUGGUUAUAUAUUAGCAGCUGAUCACAAGAAAUCCAAGCAAGAUGAUGCAGUUUAUGCUGUUAUUCAGUCGGCAAGGGAAGUUGCGCCUGCAGAAGUGGUAUGAGGCACAUCCAGAUAAGUUAAAGAAGAAGAUCACCCGAGAAUUGAUAUCCACUAUCUUGGCAAGGAAGCCCAAGAUGUCCUCCUUCUUGGAAUGGAGGGAUCUCAAGAUUGUGUACAAGAGGUAUGCAUCUCUGUACUUCUGCUGUGCCAUUGAGCAACAGGACAAUGAACUUCUUACACUGGAGGUGAUCCAUCGCUAUGUUGAGCUACUUGACAAAUACUUUGGCAGUGUUUGUGAGUUAGACAUCAUCUUCAACUUUGAAAAAGCAUACUUCAUGCUGGAUGAGCUCAUGGUGGGCGGGGAAGUGUGUGAGACGAGCAAGAAGAAUGUACUGAAGGCCAUAGCUGCGCAGGACCUGCUGCAGGAGGAUGAGGCAGUGGAGGGGGCGCUGCGCGAGAUUGGGCUGUACUAGUGUGUGCAGCUGCAUCAGUAACCCUCCCCUCUGCUCCUCCCUUCCCUUGAUUGUCAGCCGAGGUGUCUUUUGUUAAUGAUAUUAAGGAUGAAAUCGUGGAAAUGGCCCUUAGAGAUAUGGGUCUAAUUUGAGGCUCUCUCUGUAACAUUGUUUUCAAUGGCUCUCAAAACUAUUUCACAUGACAGUACAGAUGAUAUUAUUAUGGACUUGGAAUAGAUGAUAAUACAAAGAGUCAUCAUCAAUAUUCUUAGUUGGUAAAUAAUUCUAAAAUGUGCAAUUACUAUUUAAGAGGUUUAAGGGUUAAACAGGGAGACCAUUCCAUUUUUGAUAGUUGAUGUACAGUCUGUAAAAUGUAACUUUAGUCUUGCAUCUUGGCCCUAAGUUAUUGUGAAUGUGGAUCCCAACCUGGUAGUAGAAUAUUUAUACAAAAACAUGUUACGCUUGUAAUAUGUGGCAGCAUACACAGCAUAGGCUCUCUAACACUAUUAGGAGUAAAAAUAUUUUGCUUAUUUAUUGUUAAUAUUCUUUGCCCCCAAAAUGUACUUUAAACUCCUGGCCAUUAAGGUGAGACCCUUAGACCUUUAUCCCACCAUCUACUCCUGGCCUGACUUAUACUAGAAGCCGUGCUUGAAUUUGCCUAUGUAGUGGUGCAGUACAUAGUGGGCAUGUACCCUGGCUACCCAUCAUGCUUUCAGGGUAUUUUCUCCUGUGUAACAUUGUAAUGUAGUGAGCCAGCAUGUGCUGGUGGUGGUAAAACUGCUGGAAAUAAAUCUGGUUUGCA